This 26-nucleotide non-coding RNA is filed under the name Cricetulus griseus (Chinese hamster). Lineage: Eukaryota; Metazoa; Chordata; Mammalia; Rodentia; Cricetidae. The record is from RNAcentral.
UGGAGAAUCCUUGUCACUGUCCCAGA